GAUGAACGCUGGCGGCGUGCCUAAUACAUGCAAGUCGAGCGAACGGACGAGAAGCUUGCUUCUCUGCUGUUAGCGGCGGACGGGUGAGUAACACGUGGAUAACCUACCUCUAAGACUGGGAUAACUUCGGGAAACCGGAGCUAAUACCGGAUAAUAUUUUGAACCGCAUGGUUCAAAAGUGAAAGACGGUCUUGCUGUCACUUAUAGAUGGAUCCGCGCUGCAUUAGCUAGUUGGUAAGGUAACGGCUUACCAAGGCAACGAUGCAUAGCCGACCUGAGAGGGUGAUCGGCCACACUGGAACUGAGACACGGUCCAGACUCCUACGGGAGGCAGCAGUAGGGAAUCUUCCGCAAUGGGCGAAAGCCUGACGGAGCAACGCCGCGUGAGUGAUGAAGGUCUUCGGAUCGUAAAACUCUGUUAUUAGGGAAGAACAUAUGUGUAAGUAACUGUGCACAUCUUGACGGUACCUAAUCAGAAAGCCACGGCUAACUACGUG
Molecule: ribosomal RNA, 497 nt
Filed under: uncultured bacterium
Lineage: Bacteria
Description: partial 16S ribosomal RNA
Rfam family: Bacterial small subunit ribosomal RNA
Source: RNAcentral